UAGGGAAUCUUCCACAAUGGACGCAAGUCUGAUGGAGCAACGCCGCGUGAGUGAAGAAGGUCUUCGGAUCGUAAAACUCUGUUGUAAGAGAAGAACGUGUGUGAGAGUGGAAAGUUCACACAGUGACGGUAACUUACCAGAAAGGGACGGCUAACUACGUGCCAA
Molecule: ribosomal RNA, 165 nt
Filed under: uncultured bacterium
Lineage: Bacteria
Description: partial 16S rRNA
Rfam family: Bacterial small subunit ribosomal RNA
Source: RNAcentral